GCCAGAUCAACGCACAACAAAUAAACAAGAUAGAAGAACUGUGGAAGACGAAUCCUGAUGCUUCCCUUGAGGAUCUUGAGAAGCCUGGUGUGGAUGAUGAGCCUCAACCUGUAGCACUGAAGUAUGAAGAUGCAUAUCAGUAUCAAAAUGUAUUUGCUCCGCUCAUCAAGCUUGAAGCUGAUUAUGACAAAAUGAUGAAAGAAUCCCAGAGCAAGGACAAUGUCACUAUCUGAUGGGAUAUUGGUCUGAACAAGAAGCGCAUUUCAUAUUUUAUUUUCCCAAAGGAAGACAAUGAGUUGAGACUAAUGCCUGAUGAUGAGUUGAGGCUCCGUUAUUCAGGAGAUGCUGCUCAUCCAGCAUGGCAAUCUGUGGGGCAUGUGAUUAAGCUAACCGCACAAGAAGAGGUUGC
Molecule: long non-coding RNA, 409 nt
Organism: Rhodamnia argentea
Lineage: Eukaryota; Viridiplantae; Streptophyta; Magnoliopsida; Myrtales; Myrtaceae
Exons: 5
Source: RefSeq, a predicted model, not a curated record